This 124-nucleotide ribosomal RNA is filed under the name Flavobacterium johnsoniae subsp. aurantiacum. RNAcentral's name for it is "partial 16S ribosomal RNA". It matches the Rfam family "Bacterial small subunit ribosomal RNA", at positions 1380 to 1512 of the family's 1533-position model. The record is from RNAcentral. RNAcentral also lists the same sequence under 1 other name. Lineage: Bacteria; Pseudomonadati; Bacteroidota; Flavobacteriia; Flavobacteriales; Flavobacteriaceae.
CUUGUACAACCCGCCCGUCAAGCCAUGGAAGCUGGGGGUACCUGAAGUCGGUGACCGCAAGGAGCUGCCUAGGGUAAAACUGGUAACUAGGGCUAAGUCGUAACAAGGUAGCCGUACCGGAAGG